RNAcentral lists this long non-coding RNA (1205 nucleotides) under Manacus vitellinus (golden-collared manakin). RNAcentral's name for it is "lncRNA (ENSMVIG00005000086.1)". The record is from RNAcentral. Lineage: Eukaryota; Metazoa; Chordata; Aves; Passeriformes; Pipridae.
GCUUUGGGUACAGCACUGGUCCUGUUUCCUCCACAGGGCCCAUGUGGGGCCCUGGCAUCAGACCCAUUUAUCUGCUGAUCGAACCGUGGGGAUGCUGGUGAUGGAGCUGUGCUGUCUCCUCCCAGUGGUAGCAGGUCCCAGACAGCAAAGGAGGCACAAGGAAGGGGCAGCUUCAGGAUGGAGCCCUCUGGGAUGAAGCUCCUAAAGGUGUCCUCUCCCGACUUCUUGCCCAGAGACCAGCCCUUCACCAUGCAGUUUCCUGGCCCGCCCUCUCCACCCGGGUCUCCUGCCCUCCCUGGGCUCUCUCCGCCCGGAUCUCCUCCUGCCCGCUCCAGGCGCUCCGAUAUCAUCCCCUACACGCCGCCGCCGUCCCCCGGCCUCACGGGCCGCCUGCCCCCCAUCGUCAAACAGUACCAGGAGCGCGGCCAAAGGGAGCAGGCAGAGGGGUAUUCCCGCAGAUCCCCCAUGUACUGUGGGGGCCGGCACACCAGCAUCUGCCCAGUGCAGCCGAUGGAGCCCCUCCUCCCAGACCCCAGCAAGCCCGGCGUGUUUGACCUGGUGGGCAGGGAUGGAAUCGUCUACCGGGGCCGGCAGUGCAGGAGGACUCCUAUGGGGUCCUGGAUGGAAGGAGCAACCUAUUCCAAUCUGCAGUAAAGAGCUACAAGCAGCCAAGCACCUGUGCUUCCUGAGUGAAGUGGCCUUGGAUCAGGAUCUUUCCUUCUUGAACAAGGAGGGGCUGCUGGAGGAGCUGAUAACUCCAGGGUCUGUGUCAGCCCCGUGCUCCCUCUGACACCCCCUGGCCCCUGCCAGGGGACCCUUUGGCCCCAAAGGAGGUCUGGGGGGGCCGAGUGGUGCCGCAGAAGGAGGAUGUUCCUUUGCCUCCAGGGAGGCAGUGGGAAAGGGGGGGUCUCAGUGGGAAGAGCAGCAGCAGGACACGGUUUAAUGUCAAAAGCGAAUCCCACCCCAAGCCCGCUGGUUUGCUAUCGAUUAUCCCAUUGAGCAUCACCGGGCUGCUUUCUUUAUCUCCAAGCGAAGGAAGCCCCUUGUCCCUCUCCCCUUUGUCACCCCCUCCGUCCCUCUCCAGCGCUGCCAUCAACAGAAAGAGGAAGGCACGAGGAAGCCCCGCUGCUUCCCACCUCCAGACGCGAGGGGCAGCUGUAACCUGUCCUUGCCACCACCUGGGGGAACACGACCCGCCGCUCCUU